UAAUACAUGCAAGUCGAGCGGACCGACGGGAGCUUGCUCCCUUAGGUCAGCGGCGGACGGGUGAGUAACACGUGGGUAACCUGCCUGUAAGACUGGGAUAACUCCGGGAAACCGGGGCUAAUACCGGAUGCUUGAUUGAGCCGCAUGGUUCAAUUAUAAAAGGUGGCUUUCAGCUACCACUUACAGAUGGACCCGCGGCGCAUUAGCUAGUUGGUGAGGUAACGGCUCACCAAGGCGACGAUGCGUAGCCGACCUGAGAGGGUGAUCGGCCACACUGGGACUGAGACACGGGCCAGACUCCUACGGGAGGCAGCAGUAGGGAAUCUUCCGCAAUGGACGAAAGUCUGACGGAGCAACGCCGCGUGAGUGAUGAAGGUUUUCGGAUCGUAAAACUCUGUUGUUAGGGAAGAACAAGUACCGUUCGAAUAGGGCGGCACCUUGACGGUACCUAACCAGAAAGCCAGGGGUAACUACGUGCCAGCAGCCGCGGUAAUACGUAGGUGGCAAGCGUUGUCCGGAAUUAUUGGGCGUAAAGCGCGCG
RNAcentral lists this ribosomal RNA (541 nucleotides) under uncultured Bacilli bacterium. RNAcentral's name for it is "bacterial SSU rRNA". It matches the Rfam family "Bacterial small subunit ribosomal RNA", at positions 49 to 571 of the family's 1533-position model. Lineage: Bacteria; Bacillati; Bacillota; Bacilli. The record is from RNAcentral.